GGGGCCGUAGCCCAACAGGCUAGGAGGCGCCAGCUUUAGGUGCUGGACAGUGUGGGUUCGAAUCCCACCGGCCCUA
RNAcentral lists this transfer RNA (76 nucleotides) under Actinomadura barringtoniae. It matches the Rfam family "tRNA". From Rfam's summary of the family: Transfer RNA (tRNA) molecules are approximately 80 nucleotides in length. Their secondary structure includes four short double-helical elements and three loops (D, anti-codon, and T loops). Further hydrogen bonds mediate the characteristic L-shaped molecular structure. tRNAs have two regions of fundamental functional importance: the anti-codon, which is responsible for specific mRNA codon recognition, and the 3' end, to which the tRNAs corresponding amino acid is attached (by aminoacyl-tRNA synthetases). tRNAs cope with the degeneracy of the genetic code in two manners: having more than one tRNA (with a specific anti-codon) for a particular amino acid; and 'wobble' base-pairing, i.e. permitting non-standard base-pairing at the 3rd anti-codon position. The record is from Rfam by way of RNAcentral. Lineage: Bacteria; Bacillati; Actinomycetota; Actinomycetes; Streptosporangiales; Thermomonosporaceae.